Molecule: ribosomal RNA, 224 nt
Filed under: uncultured bacterium
Lineage: Bacteria
Description: partial 16S ribosomal RNA
Rfam family: Bacterial small subunit ribosomal RNA
Source: RNAcentral
GAUCAUGGCUCAGGAUGAACGCUAGCUACAGGCUUAACACAUGCAAGUCGAGGGGCAGCAUGGUCUUAGCUUGCUAAGGCCGAUGGCGACCGGUGCACGGGUGAGUAACACGUAUCCAACCUGCCGUCUACUCUUGGACAGCCUUCUGAAAGGAAGAUUAAUACAAGAUGGCAUCACGAGUCCGCAUGUUCACAUGAUUAAAGGUAUUCCGGUAGACGAUGGGG